RNAcentral lists this long non-coding RNA (6985 nucleotides) under Gallus gallus (chicken). The record is from RNAcentral. Lineage: Eukaryota; Metazoa; Chordata; Aves; Galliformes; Phasianidae.
CGCUGGCGGAUGACAGCACCGAGAGGGUCGCGAGGAGCUGCGGUGCGGCCCGGGGGGACAGCCCCGGUCCUGUCCCACCGCCCCGAGCCUUCCCCGGGGCUUCUCACGGUGCUGCUGCCCACGGCCCGGACAGCAGCAGGGGGGGUGCGGCACGGCGCGGCCGCUGAGGGCUUUGUCAUCGCUUACAGUCUCUGCAUUUUGAAUCAAGUAUAGUGAUGGAGGAAGGUGUUGCCUCUGUGUUUGUUUUCAAGUGAAAGAAGGUUGGCAGCAGCAUUUGGAACACAUGGCAUAAGUCUGGGAACUGGGCCUUACAGCCAUCGUAAAGAAGUGAGCUUCAGCUUCCAAGAAGAGAAGAAAGCAGAGAGAUAUAAUUGGGCAUUUCAAUCUCAUCUGACCAAAGCCUUCAUGUGGAAGAGGAAUCUGCCUGUCAAAGAAAUUGGAGAGCUUCUCUGGAUCCCAUUUCCAUCCAAUCAAAGAUGCUUUGUAUUCACCAUCGUUAAUCGUACGAUUUGCAUUUGUGUAGAAAGUAAUAGAGGAAAUAUCCCAAGUUCAUUACCAAAAGGUAAUGAAGAGCAUCCCCAAAAAUUUGUGUGAUCUGGAUUGGAAUUCUGAAGCAGUUGAUACAAUCAGGGAAAAACAGAAGGAUUUGGCAGGAAAGAACAAGGAGAAUGGGGUUUAUGGAAGAAGAAGUUUGAAGUCUUCCAACUUCACUCAAGAAGUGUUAGUUCACUCAGUUAGGAAACUGGCACACUGACUGGCCAUCCAGGAUGGGACAGAUCUUGUCAGUAUCAGAGGAGUAAUAUUUUCACAAGGAUGAACUGCCACUGAAUGAUACAGAAACACUUUUAUCUUCAAUAUCAUGCAGGUAUUUUGGGAAGAUAAGUCCCUGUAUUAUUAAUUAUGACAUUUAAAAAUGAUUCUGUUCCUUGGGAACAAGAAGACAAAUAUUUAUCUCCAUGGUUAUGUUUUGCAGAGCACUCUAAAAGCAUCAAAAAAGUGCAAGAUCUUGUUCCUGGCAUAUAUUUCCUUUGGGCUAAUCUUUCAAGACUCCAAAAGGUGUUGAGAUACGGUUGAUGUUAUGCAACCUUCAACACUAAAGCAGAUGUACAUCGUUCCUCCUUUGAGAAGUCUUAUUUUGAUCUCUGGAGACCCAUAUAGUGGUCCUCGCUAAAUCAUUUUGAGCAGAAGGGGAAUGUGCCCAGAGCAUUAUAGAAGCAGCAAUCUGUAGAUGGAAGUUAUAUGUGGAGUUUGAUGAAGCUGGCACUUUUCCUCCUGUAUGUUAAAUAAACAAGAAGUUACUGUGUAGUGUGUGAUGAUGCAGGCUGAUACUCUGCUGCUGAAUAAAACAAUGACAUGCUAAGACUCAGACUAUUUCCUUGUAUAGUCCUCAAAAAAUAGGAUUUUUUGUUUCUGAUACAUCUGAAAAUUCACAGGCAAAUAUGCAACUAAUCAAACCUCGCAGAGAUGCUAACACCCAGAUGUGUGUGUUUCUGUGUGGAAGCAAUCUAUGGCUAAUAGUAACAGAACUCUUGGAUAGAGAAAUCCUGUAAAAAUACAGAUUAGGCAUACAUAAGUUAAAUAUGUCUAACUAGUGUGCCAAGAAUUUAUAGUUUUAUGAAAUCUGUAUUAUGUAAAGAUCUUUCAAUAUUUCCUUCUAAAAAGUUUUCAUUAAUAUACAAAAAGGAGGAUAUGGAUUUCCAUAAUAAGCAGAAGAACCUUCCCAUUUCAUGUACAAUAAAUGAAAAUAACCACAUGACCUUGAUUCCUUGGCUUCCCUCUCUCUCCAGAUCUCCAUUAGAAGUUAGUACUUGAGUAAUCCAAUCUUUUAAUAAUAAGCUAUAAAAUAAAACCGUGCAAUUUAGCAAUAAUAAUGAAUGGUAAGUUUGCAUGUUGGCUGGAACUUCUGAGUGAGACUGUCCAACAUUCACUGUGCUAAAAGUCUAACAGUACUGAGUUUGACCAUUGGGAUUGACACCCUAGAUUCGCAACAGAGAUGGGAAGGAGUGCAAAUGCAGAUCUGAAUUUUGUAUUUUAAAUAUGGAAGUAUCUAUAUCUGAGGAGAGCCUUGUCUUGUUCAUCUUGAUACACUUCAGUAAAUUAUGAGGAGCUACUUUAAAAUGAAGAAAAGACAGAGGAGGUAAAAAUCAGAGAAAAUUCAGAGCUGAAAUCGAGAGUUAAUACUUGCAGGAAUUCAAGCCAGUAUUCCUUACAAAACUUCCCUUUGACUUCUCAUCCAGGGGAAAGAAAAGGAAAAAUUUAUCUGUGUGUACCUCUAUAUCUUGUAAUAUAUCUUAUAAUAAUCCAAGUUCACUUCAUGGACAUGGAUUUUGACUCUGGCUCAUAGUGGUGACAUCAUGUCUCAUCACUAGUAAUGAUGUGAUCCAGGAAACUGGAUGAAGUAAACUGCUACCUUCAGCCUUGUAUUGGUUCAAUAGGUCUUACAUAUCAAUAGGUCUUACAUAUCAAACUUACAUACGAUGCUCUUUCUGUUCCUGUGUGAGCAUUUGCAGGACUCACUUGUCGCAAACUUCAUUAUAUUCCAACGUUACCAUCAUCAUUUUCAAUGCACUGAAGCUGAUAUUCAACCCUGUACACAGUUCUCUGGUUGUAAUUCACCAAUUUGUGUGGAUGAGCUGAUUGAGACACUCUUCAUUUUGUGGUGUGACAGCUGUGCAUGUCUGUCUGGAAUGUGGUUUGUCUUUCAUGUCUCUGUUGCCACUGCUGAAAUGCACCAUCCGCCUCCUCACUGCGCUCACAUCCACUGUUUGGUCUCCAUAAACUUUCAGCAUGUGUCAAUGAAUGUCAAAGGGGACCAUUUUUUCCACAUGGAGGAAUUCAGUGACACACCUUUGCUUUGUACGCACUUCCAUGUCAGAGGCCAUUUCGUCAGACUGCCCCUCUGUUGCCAUCUGUCACACAGCAACGAAAUGUAAUGGAAUAUUGGUGGGAAAUUUCAAGCUCUACUAACACGCUACCAGCAUCCACCUCUGAAGUUGUGGGCCAACACCACAAAAUAGGAGGCAUUAAUUUCAGAGCAGCAAGCUUGGUAGAAAGGUGAAUAAAUACAGAUUAGAUUUUCUGUAAUACCUUCACUGAAGGCUCAGAUGAGUUUGAGUCAUAGAUCAAAGCAACAUGAUCAUCUGAAGUGGUCUCUUAUUUGAGAAAGGCCAAACCUUGCACACAAAAUUCCUUUUUGCUUGCUUCCCUCCAACGCUGUAUAUUUAUCAUGGAUAGAUUAUCACUGAGUGAUCACGUUACUUUCUGGUAUCUUAUGACUGUGGUUCAACUUCAGAAACAAAAAAGAGCAAAGGAAAGCUGCCAAAUCCAUUUGCUUUAUGUGACUCCCCACUUCAGACACACAAGGAAAGGCCUUACCUUUUUAACCUGUGCAGCUGAUGCUUGGAUUUUCUUUUCAUAUAUAUGCUCCAAAAGUAAACCAUGGACUUGAGAGGAAACGAGCUUAAUAUGCCAUGUGCUUCCUAUUUGUUGAAGGUAUCAGGGCUAGAGCUCCCUUGGCAUGCUAAAACAUGAACGUUUUUACAGCGUAGCAGAUUAUGGAAGCUGCUCUUGAUAAAUUCCAGUAACAGCAUUUUACAUUCCUCAUGCACCUUUCUGUGAAUGACAGAUUGCCACAUUAAGUCUCUAAAGAAGUGCUUGACAAGGGUGGUUCAGCAAAAGAAGAAAAUGGACCAUGUGUCUGACUCGGUAACUCUACAUUUCUUAACACAUUUACACGGGACUGCAGUGUUGUUCUCUCCUGUGUGCCAGAGCAUGAGAAAACUUCAGCGUGAGACACUCCUUCACACCACCAGGUCCUCUGCUGAAAUGCACAUGAAAACAAACAUAUGGAUGUGUUUACCUCUCAUAAAAGUAUAGGAAAAAGAAUAAUUUCACUGGAAUUUUUUCUUCUUGGCUGGGAGGUAGAGGAAAAGGGACCAUGGCAGAUACACAAGCUGUAGAAGAUGUGCUUGUUGGGAAGAAGGUUGUAGAGAUUAAACAGCCAGCCCAGUAAGUACUAGAAGCCUUUAUGCUGCAAGUAGAGCAACCAGGCUAAUAUACUGUUUCAUGCUGUAUUCUGAAGGUGCUUUUUGGAAGAAGUCAGUUCAAAAUGUUGCCCAGUAUGACUCUGCCUGGCACAGAAAUCACUGCUGGUUCUAUCCAUUCAGUGGAACUGAGGGGAACAAAGUUUGAAGACAUAAGUAUAUGAUUGUAUGUGAUUGUCUACAUACUUAAAAUGUGUAGAAUUAGCUGUUAAGUGCACUCUAAAUAUGGCACAUAAAUUCACCUAUAAAUACUAGAAGCACUGUGCCUGAUUUAGAAACAUUAACUGAAGAAUUUCUCAAAUGCAAAUUUUAAUUUCUUUCAGAUCUGUUUUGUGGUUUCUUCUCCAGCAUUCAAGGUGGAUGCAUGAGAUUCCAUUUCCAGUUUUAACUUAAUGGCUUCCCUUAAGAAAGAGGAGGAAAAAAAGUUAUAUGAAUUAAACAUUACAUAUGAUGUGGCAAAGCACUUUCAGGAAUUCAAUAAGGAAGAGCAGAAAAAACUGUUGCUCAGAGUUAGUAGCAGCAGUGAAUAGCGCUGUUACCAUCUAAAAGCUCACACUUUUCAGUCAGACUUGGCUGGUGAAAUGUAGAAGCUUAAUGUGGAUUACACUUUUUAAAUCUUUCAACGUUAGAAAAAUAGAAGAGAUGUAGUGCGUUUUCAUUUCAGCGUACUUUGAAUGCAAUCUCAAGAUAAAUGUGAGAGACGGAUUGUGUUUGUACCCGUGCCAAACAUUGUCGUUAGAUAUUGCUGUUUUGUUUCAUCAGCCAGAUGAAUUUACACAGGGACAUCGAUCAGGUACCUACAUUUAAAAGAGCGCACUGUCAAAUUAGUGGAUAGAAAGAGCACAUUAGGAGAGAGAAAUUAUCUGGUGAAAGAUUUAAAGACUGACUCACUUAUGUUUUGUUUCAUUAAAUGUGGGGUAGUCCCCGUUCAUUUUCCAUUUAGCAUGAACAUUCAUAGACUCCAUUAAAAUACCAUUUUUGUAACGAACUAGCUGACUUGGGACAUACAUGAUCCUCAUUGGAAAAAACACAGCUCCCCUUCUGACAGGUUCUAGAUCACUCCAAAAUCUGGGGCCCAAGACGGGCAACCCUACUGGCUGUCUUGAGGAGACACCUGCGUCCUCCUGUAAAAUAUAUGUGUAUAGGGCAUAUAUUUUAUGGCCUGCAGGGGCUGGUGGUCUCCAUAGGGAUGGGGAGAGGUUGGGAUGGGAUGUGGUUGUAUGCACUCCACAAAAGGUCUCAGAAUAUGUUCUCAAGAGGCAAACACACACAAGCACAAAACAAACAAACAAAAAGACAAGCAACAAAAUAAAUCAAGCAAAUUGAAACCAAAUACAUCCAUGACUAGCCUAUGCCAUAAAUCCCUCUUUUGUGCUACUUUCCAGUCAGCUCCAUUACACAAUGGAUUUAAUUCCACAAUGAUUUAAUUACACAAUGAUUUAAUUCAAACAUUUUAUGGCAGAGAUGUAUUUUAGCUAAAAUGAUAUUUUUACUCAGUGUGGGGCGGCAGGGGGUUGGAUAAAAUGGACUACUUUACCAAUGAAAUGAAGAGCUACAGAAUGGUAAGAGACAGAUACAGGGAGUGUAGGUGUGGUACCAAAUCCCUACCUCACUGUUUCAAUACCUGCGCUUAGUGCCUGGAUUGCCUUACAUUCAGCUCUGUAACAGCCCCACAACAUAUCAGAGCUUCCUGCGAAGGUUUUCACUCUUCAUAUCCAAUAAGACAUUUAGAUUAAUGCAUGCAAAAUGUUGCCCUAGGAUUUGAUAGUGAAAAGAGCCAAAACCCAAAUCUUCUUUUUUUCCCCAGAAAUAGUCAUCCAUCAUUAAAAUUAUUAGAGAGCAAAUGGCUGAAAUGUAUCAUUACAAAAUAGAAGUAUUUCCUUUGAUUGUUUAAAAAUCUCUUAUUUAAUUUGAUUCAUACAUAUUUUUUUCCCUUUUACAGUUUAGAACACUGCAUCUUACCAUAUGUGAAAUGUUUCUUUGAGGUGUCAAAGUGACUUGUCAUGGGUUUGGAAUGAGAACUAAAUUAAAUGUCCAUACUUUAACAUACUUAUAUAAAUAACGAGAUAUUCCAGUAUAAACCAUUCAUUUGGCAGUCAUUUCUACAUCAGCAACUACAAAGUGCUAUAGAUUUCCUGCCUAACUUGACACAUGCAAAGAAAAUCAGGAAGGAAAAUGUGUGUGUACGCAUAUAUUUUAUAGAAAAAGACAGCCUCUUGUAUUCUAUUGUCAUUAAAGUAUUUCUAGCUUUUCUGGAAAUAGUGCAAGAGGUUUAACAAAAUGCUCUGCAUUCACAGCAGAAUGCUGGAGCAUUAAGUUGCUUCCAACUGCACUCCAAAACUUGUUUCCAUAAUUUAGAAACAGAGAGGGUAGAAAUGGAUAACAAAGUCAUUAAUGAGCUCCAAGAAUGAUUUAUUAUGGGUGAUAUAGCGUCUUUGCUUUUAAGAAAAAUACAUUAAAUAAAAAUUCUUCAUAAAAUAAAAAUUCUUUCCUAUUGAACAUUGUGCAGAAUUUGCUUUAUUAGUGUAUUAUAUCACCACAUUGCCUGGUCUGGCAUUUCUCAUACAAAUAAUGUUUCAAGGUGCUAGCAAAGCUUGUGAACUACAGUGCAAACCAUGUUAGGAAUACUGUUUGUACAGAAACACAACAGUAGCAAAGAUCCUUCUGCAGGGGUUCUGGAGAUAGUUAACACUGGAGGAUCCUUUCAUCUUGCAUCUGCUGCACAAACUUGCAUCACACUCGGCUAACAAUAAUAAAAAAUGAUAACUGAUAUUUAGUUCCAGUCUUUCCAUCUGCCUGACUUCUUUAUGCCAGUUUUUAGGUUGCCAGUCUUUCUCAUGCACACGUCUAUGCACACAUACUCUGAAAGCAUCGGUGGUCAAUGAACAGUGUCGUCUAGGUGGAAACAUCAUAUAGCUAUAAAACAACAUCCAGAUUUGCUG